CUCUUCGGGGAUGAUUAAACCGGCGCACGGGUGAGUAACACGUGAGUGACCUGCCUUUUAGACUGGAACAACUUACCGAAAGGUGAGCUAAUGCCGGAUGAGUUAUAUAAGUGCAUGUUUAUAUAGGAAAAGUUGGGGAGACCUGACGCUGAAAGAUGGACUCGCGUCCCAUUAGCUAGUUGGUAGGGUAAUGGCCUACCAAGGCGACGAUGGGUAGCCGGCCUGAGAGGGUGGCCGGCCACACUGGGACUGAGACACGGCCCAGACUCCUACGGGAGGCAGCAGUGGGGAAUUUUGCGCAAUGCUCGUAAGAGUGACGCAGCGACGCCGCGUGAAUGACGAAGGCCUUCGGGUCGUAAAGUUCUUUCGACAGGGAAGAAAAUGCCUAUAAGUAACUGUGUAUGUAUUGACGGUACCUGUAUAAGCAGCCCCGGCUAACUCCGUGCCAGCAGCCGCGGUAAUACGGAGGGGGCGAGCGUUGUUCGGAGUGACUGGGCGUAAAGAGCACGUAGGCGGUGUUGUAAGUCAUUAGUCAAAGACUAGAGCUCAACUUUAGUAAGGCUAGUGAUACUAUAAUACUAGAGUAUCAGAGAGGAUUGCAGAAUUCCUGGUGUAGCGGUGAAAUGCGUAGAUAUCAGGAGGAAUACCGUUAGCGAAGGCGGCAAUCUGGCUGGAAACUGACGCUGAGGUGCGAAAGCGUGGGUAGCAAACAGGAUUAGAUACCCUGGUAGUCCACGCUGUAAACGAUGGAUGCUAGGUGUUGGGCUUUUAAGUUCAGUGCCGCAGCAAACG
Molecule: ribosomal RNA, 792 nt
Filed under: uncultured bacterium
Lineage: Bacteria
Description: bacterial SSU rRNA
Rfam family: Bacterial small subunit ribosomal RNA
Source: RNAcentral